UUCCCAAAACCAAAACAAAAGAAACCCGAUCCCAAAUUCCCAAUCUCCUCUUUCUCCUCCACCUCAAUCGGUCAAUCCCAAUCUCCUCCGCCUCAAUCCCGAUCCCAAUCUCCUCCGCCUCCUCCUCCGCCUGAAGUCGCCGCCUCCGCCACCUCAAGUCGCCGCUGAAGUCGCUGCAGCGCAGGAUCCUCGCCGGCGCCGGAGGGGACGGCUCGGCCGCGGCGGAUUACCUCCCGUUUGAGUUCAGGUUGGAGGCCGCCUGUGCGUUUCUCGAUACGCAGAUUAAUUGAAGAUGAAGAAUUUAAAAGAGUGGUUUUCCUAUGAGCUAUUGUCUAAAUCAUUACUAUCUGCAAGGCCUUUCAGCUUCUUUUAUGAGGAAUCACUGGAUGGUGAACUUGGCAACCGAGGAGAAAUAUUGAGGUCUCUAUGGUGAUUUCGGAUUCUAACCCUUGCUAUGAAGACGCACAUAUGAGGCUUGCUGCAGUACUUUUAAUGUUGCUAUUGAGUACAACUGAGUGUUAUGUUUGUUUCAUGGUCUUUUCUUUCUUCUGUCAUGAUCUUGUUCAUGCCUGAACAUUUGAAAGAUGGGAAAUAAGUGGACUAUGGUUGUGCUACUAUUUUGUUUAUAGACGAACUUACUACUCUUCUAGUUUAUCAAGUAAUUAAGUAGAUUGUCCUUACUAAUCGUGA
Long non-coding RNA from Asparagus officinalis (garden asparagus), 690 nucleotides. RefSeq lists it as uncharacterized. NCBI's taxonomy places the organism in Eukaryota, Viridiplantae, Streptophyta, Magnoliopsida, Asparagales, Asparagaceae. The transcript has 3 exons. The record is from RefSeq and is a predicted model, not a curated record.